RNAcentral lists this long non-coding RNA (535 nucleotides) under Solanum tuberosum (potato). Its description in RNAcentral is "long non-coding RNA (STUB_LNC008317)". The record is from RNAcentral. Lineage: Eukaryota; Viridiplantae; Streptophyta; Magnoliopsida; Solanales; Solanaceae.
AAUGCAGCUCCCCCAAGGCAAUGGGGCGUCAGUACAAAAUAAUGUACAGAGUAUGAAAGGCAAUAGACUAUGAUGAGGUAUCCUGAUAUACUGGAAUAAUCUGAUAAAUAAAUCAAGGAUAAGAUAAGUGUACUGACCUGCUCCUAAAUCUAAACUUAUCAAAAAUAAUAAAACAACAACCUAGCCAAGCCCCCAUAAGCUCGGCAGGUACAAACAGCACUCAAGACCACCUACUCAGGCCCCCAUAAGCCCGGAAGGUGCCAAUCAGUCUAUAUACCCCUAUCGAUAGUCCCUUAGCCCUGUAGGCAAUCACAUAGCCCUCUUAGGCAUUAAUAUAGCCCCAUAACAGCACAUAGUUCUCUUAGGUAUCAACAUAGCUUAUAGACAACUCAUAGCCCUCUUAGGCAACAACAUAGCCAUGUAGGAAGCCCAUAGCCUUCUUAGGCGUCAAUAUAGCCCUAUAGGCAACUCAUAGCCCUUCUAGGCAUCAAUAUAGCCCCGUAGGCAACAUAUAGCCCUUUUAGUUAUCCAUUUA